AUGUAUCUGCCACUGCUGGCGAACGCUCCCGGCGCUGGAGACGGCCGUUCUUUUCCGCAGGUACGUGAAACCCAGCUGCAUACACAACCUAUCCCUCCAACCUCGCCCCAUCUCUGUUGUGCUUCCUCGGUGGAACUCAGACCGUGGCAUGCCCUUCCUAUCGCCGUCGUCACACCGAUGGCCCGGGCGGGAUCCGCCAUCCCCACGGCCGGGCCCCUCCUCGAUGGGCGCCCCUCCCUCAUCGCCGCCAACAACAGCGGAAGGUGCCGUGUCUGCACCGAGUGCCACGCCGUUUCCGACGUGGCGGAGCACAGCCACACGGCCAGGGCGCUCGGACUCCGCCCGCUCUUCGGCGCACCCUCCAGCUCAACCUGCGCGGUAGGCGGCUCCGGCGCAACGGCCCCCCGCGGAGUCGUCGUCGGGCGCUCAACCCGGGCGUCAACCCCGUGGACCAUGCGGGAGCAGGAUCCGCGGUCAGACCAUCCUCGCCGGGCGCCCGUUCGUGGCACACGGCCACGUUGCGGCCAGCCACAGCGGACGCCCUCGUCUCUCCAAGGAGUGCCACAACGUCGCCGACGCGGCAGGGCACGGCCUGGACGCUCGGGCUUGGGCUACCCCCGCUCCUUGGCGGCUCCACCUCUGUCGCGACGGGCAACUAUGUUUUGUCUCUAA
Molecule: ribosomal RNA, 672 nt
Filed under: Triticum aestivum (bread wheat)
Lineage: Eukaryota; Viridiplantae; Streptophyta; Magnoliopsida; Poales; Poaceae
Description: partial small subunit ribosomal RNA
Source: RNAcentral